This 343-nucleotide unclassified non-coding RNA is filed under the name soil metagenome. RNAcentral describes it as "partial contains 5.8S ribosomal RNA, internal transcribed spacer 2, and large subunit ribosomal RNA". The stretch from base 1 to 120 matches the Rfam family "5.8S ribosomal RNA", at positions 35 to 154 of the family's 154-position model. The record is from RNAcentral.
GAUGAAGAACGUAGCGAAAUGCGAUAAGUAAUGUGAAUUGCAGAAUUCAGUGAAUCAUCGAGUUUUUGAACGCAUAUUGUGCCCUCUGGUAUUCCGGGGGGCAUGCCUGUUCGAGCGUCAUUAAAUAACCCUCAAGCAUAGCUUGGUGUUGGGCUUUUUUACGUCCUUGACUGGGAUGGGCCUAAAAAUUAGUGGCGAUGGCUUUUUUACUUUCAAGCGUAGUAAAUCUCGUCUUGCUAAAGAGGAAAAAGAUUUUUUUUCUGCCAAAAAUUUUAACAUUUAAAGUUGACCUCGGAUCAGGUAGGAUUACCCGCUGAACUUAAGCAUAUCAAUAAGCGGAGGA